Non-coding RNA from Macaca mulatta (Rhesus monkey), 1795 nucleotides. The record is from RefSeq and is a predicted model, not a curated record. Lineage: Eukaryota; Metazoa; Chordata; Mammalia; Primates; Cercopithecidae.
GUGUGGGAAUUCUGGGAGAUACAAUUCAAGUUGAGAUUUGGAUGGGGAUACAGCCAAACCAUAACAAGGCAGGAAUUAUUAUUAACCCAUCUUCCUAAUAAGGGAACUGAGGCUGAAAGGAAGGGAUUUACCCAGAAUCACACAGCUGGGAAAUGAGCAAGCCAGGACUUGCCUCAGGUAUGAUGACCCCAAAGUCCAGGCAUACCCUUAGCCCCCAGGGAGGGUGGGCCUUUGCCCAUCUGCCCUCACUGCCUGCCCUGUCUUGCAGGAAUUUCUACAAGGAUUAUCAGCAGCUGGCCCGUGAGACACAGGAGGAGGUGAAGAGCUGGAAGUCCUCCUUUCUGAGGGCUGGCAUGUACCUUGAGUGUGUUGGGGCCAGCAAGACCGAGGGGAAUGGCUCCGAUAGCUUCAUGCACUCCAUGGACCACAGCUGGAGCAGCAAGUGGAGACCAUUCAGAACAUGGCCAUUGUCAACAAGAAUGUGCAGGACCUCAUGCCCAAGACCAUCAUCCACCUCAUGAUCAACAACGUGCAUGUGCCGCCUCAUGGGGACCAAGGAGUUCAUCUUCUUGGAGCUGCUGGCCAGCCUGUACUCGAGUGGGAACCAGAACAUGCUGAUGGAGGAGUGGACAGAGCAGGCACAGCGGGGAGACCAGAUGCUGCGCAUGCACCACGUGCUGAGGGAGGCGCCCAGCACCAUUGGUGACAUCAACACGACCACUGUCAGCACGCCCACGGGCGCCCGUGGAUGACUCUUGGCCGCAGGUGCAGAGCGUCCUGGCCUGACGCAGGCACCAGGGGGCUUCCCCGACCCCUUUGGCCCUCCCCUGGCAGGUGCCCUCGCGCUCCCGCCCGGGGUCCCCAGGUGAGUAGGAGCUGAAUAGGGCGGGAGAGGCUGCCGGACGGACGUGGCCAGGAGGGAAAUGGGGCUGGAUUCCAGAGUAUCGGACCUGGUAGCCAGAACUGGCCGUCUCCAUCCCAGGCACUCGGACCGUGGGUGCUGGAGCCCUGAGUGGCCGAGGGCUGACGGAGCCUGCCCCCAAAGGAGUACUGAGUCCCGGAGGUGGUUGUUUUUAGGGAGGGGGCUAUGGGGCUCGUCCCACCUGCCCGCUUCUUUCCAGCACUUACAUGGCGCUUCCCUCCAUAUUCACUCUUGGCAGCUGCCCUACACCUUGCAUUCCUCCUCCUUUCUUCUGUGUGUGCUCCAUCCUCCAUUCCCUCCAACUCCUCUCCCAGCCCCUGGGGAGCCUACCUCAGGUCAGAGAGUCUGAACUCCGAUCUGCUCUGGUUGUGUGGAUUUCCUUCAGCUACCCUGAUGUCCCCACUUCCAAGUCCUGACUCCUUUGAGCCAUUCCAAGGGGUGUCCGGCCACUGGCCCACAGGAGCUCAGAGACCAGGCUGUGACUGUGUGACCAUCAAGGUGUGUUAUGUGUGGGGGGGAGCUUGCACACGAGUGUGAGUGUGUAAGAAUGGCACCCAGGCCUGGACCAGGACAGGAGCCUGGGGGCCAUGGGCAACCUGAUAUUUUCCUCCACCCCCACCACGCCCACACCCCCGCCCCACCCUACGGGAUCUAAACCAAUAUAGUAGGGCUGGCUGCAGGGGCAGGGACAGGAGUGUCUGAAGCCUGCUUCACUUCCGAAGAUUUCUAAGGAAAAGCGUUCUGCAUCUUUUGGCUUGGACUUGUUGACCCAUGGCCCUCUUGCAAGGACAUUCACUCUGAUUCCCAGUGUGCCCUGUUUCCACUGGCCACGUUCUCUAAGGAAGAACAAUAGCAUCUGUUUUUGUCUCCAAA